This 465-nucleotide ribosomal RNA is filed under the name Vreelandella stevensii. RNAcentral describes it as "partial 16S ribosomal RNA". It matches the Rfam family "Bacterial small subunit ribosomal RNA", at positions 338 to 795 of the family's 1533-position model. The record is from RNAcentral. Lineage: Bacteria; Pseudomonadati; Pseudomonadota; Gammaproteobacteria; Oceanospirillales; Halomonadaceae.
CCUACGGGUGGCAGCAGUGGGGAAUAUUGGACAAGGGGGGGAACCCUGAUCCAGCCAUGCCGCGUGUGUGAAGAAGGCCCUCGGGUUGUAAAGCACUUUCAGUGAGGAAGAACGCCUGGUGGUUAAUACCCAUCAGGAAAGACAUCACUCACAGAAGAAGCACCGGCUAACUCCGUGCCAGCAGCCGCGGUAAUACGGAGGGUGCGAGCGUUAAUCGGAAUUACUGGGCGUAAAGCGCGCGUAGGUGGCUUGAUAAGCCGGUUGUGAAAGCCCCGGGCUCAACCUGGGAACGGCAUCCGGAACUGUCAAGCUAGAGUGCAGGAGAGGAAGGUAGAAUUCCCGGUGUAGCGGUGAAAUGCGUAGAGAUCGGGAGGAAUACCAGUGGCGAAGGCGGCCUUCUGGACUGACACUGACACUGAGGUGCGAAAGCGUGGGUAGCAAACAGGAUUAGAUACCCUGGUAGUC